RNAcentral lists this transfer RNA (76 nucleotides) under Methylopila capsulata. RNAcentral describes it as "tRNA-Phe". It matches the Rfam family "tRNA". From Rfam's summary of the family: Transfer RNA (tRNA) molecules are approximately 80 nucleotides in length. Their secondary structure includes four short double-helical elements and three loops (D, anti-codon, and T loops). Further hydrogen bonds mediate the characteristic L-shaped molecular structure. tRNAs have two regions of fundamental functional importance: the anti-codon, which is responsible for specific mRNA codon recognition, and the 3' end, to which the tRNAs corresponding amino acid is attached (by aminoacyl-tRNA synthetases). tRNAs cope with the degeneracy of the genetic code in two manners: having more than one tRNA (with a specific anti-codon) for a particular amino acid; and 'wobble' base-pairing, i.e. permitting non-standard base-pairing at the 3rd anti-codon position. Lineage: Bacteria; Pseudomonadati; Pseudomonadota; Alphaproteobacteria; Hyphomicrobiales; Methylopilaceae. The record is from RNAcentral. RNAcentral also lists the same sequence under 1 other name.
GCCCGGGUAGCUCAGUUGGUAGAGCAGCGGACUGAAAAUCCGCGUGUCGGUGGUUCGAGUCCGCCUCCGGGCACCA